Molecule: ribosomal RNA, 253 nt
Filed under: uncultured bacterium
Lineage: Bacteria
Description: partial 16S ribosomal RNA
Rfam family: Bacterial small subunit ribosomal RNA
Source: RNAcentral
UACGUAGGGGGCAAGCGUUGUCCGGAAUCAUUGGGCGUAAAGAGCGUGUAGGCGGCCCGAUAAGUCCGCUGUGAAAGUCCAGGGCUCAACCCUGGGAUGCCGGUCGAUACUGCCGGACUAGAGUCCGGAAGAGGCAAGUGGAAUUCCCGGUGUAGCGGUGAAAUGCGCAGAUAUCGGGAGGAACACCAAUGGCGAAGGCAGCUUGCUGGGACGGUACUGACGCUGAGACGCGAAAGCGUGGGGAGCAAACAGG